AGCGAACGCUGGCGGCAGGCCUAACACAUGCAAGUCGAACGAACCUUUCGGGGUUAGUGGCGGACGGGUGAGUAACACGUGGGAACGUGCCUUUAGGUUCGGAAUAACUCAGGGAAACUUGUGCUAAUACCGAAUGUGCCCUUCGGGGGAAAGAUUUAUCGCCUUUAGAGCGGCCCGCGUCUGAUUAGCUAGUUGGUUGAGGUAAUGGCUCACCAAGGCGACGAUCAGUAGCUGGUCUGAGAGGAUGAUCAGCCACAUUGGGACUGAGACACGGCCCAAAAUCCUACGGGAGGCAGCAGUGGGGAAUCUUGCGAAAUGGGCGAAAGCAUGACGCAGCCAUGCCGCGUGAAUGAUGAAGGUCUUAGGAUUGUAAAAUUCUUUCACCGGGGACGAUAAUGACGGUACCCGGAGAAGAAGCCCCGGCUAACUUCGUG
This 434-nucleotide ribosomal RNA is filed under the name uncultured bacterium. Its description in RNAcentral is "partial 16S ribosomal RNA". It matches the Rfam family "Bacterial small subunit ribosomal RNA", at positions 29 to 507 of the family's 1533-position model. The record is from RNAcentral.